UGCCGAUUAGCUCAGUGGCAGAGCUUCGUCUCGAAAACGAUGGUCGCCGGUUCGAAUCCGGUAUUGGCAA
Molecule: transfer RNA, 70 nt
Filed under: Pseudomonadota bacterium
Lineage: Bacteria; Pseudomonadati; Pseudomonadota
Description: Proteobacteria bacterium tRNA-Ser
Rfam family: tRNA
About the family: Transfer RNA (tRNA) molecules are approximately 80 nucleotides in length. Their secondary structure includes four short double-helical elements and three loops (D, anti-codon, and T loops).
Source: RNAcentral